This 237-nucleotide ribosomal RNA is filed under the name Glomeromycotina sp. Its description in RNAcentral is "partial small subunit ribosomal RNA". The stretch from base 47 to 237 matches the Rfam family "Eukaryotic small subunit ribosomal RNA", at positions 693 to 885 of the family's 1831-position model. The record is from RNAcentral. Lineage: Eukaryota; Fungi; Glomeromycota.
GGGUCAGUAGGUUGGUCGUGCCACCGGUACGUACUGGUCUCACCGAUUCCUCCUUCCUGAAGAACCGUAAUGCCAUUAAUUUGGUGUUGCGGCGAAACAGGAAUGUUACUUUGAAAAAAUUAGAGUGUUUAAAGCAAGCUAACGCUUGAAUACAUUAGCAUGGAAUAAUGAAAUAGGACGAUCGAUCCUAUUUUGUUGGUUUCUAGGAUUGACGUAAUGAUUAAUAGGAUAGUUGGU